CAUUGAAACACUGGAUCCUGUAUGAUCAUUGAAGUUAAGCAACAUUGAGUCUGGUCAGUACCUAGAUGGUUGAUCACUUAGGAAUAGCAGGUACUGUAAG
Acanthosepion pharaonis is the source of this 100-nucleotide non-coding RNA. The record is from the annotation of a GenBank genome assembly. Lineage: Eukaryota; Metazoa; Mollusca; Cephalopoda; Sepiida; Sepiidae.